This 347-nucleotide ribosomal RNA is filed under the name uncultured bacterium. RNAcentral's name for it is "bacterial SSU rRNA". It matches the Rfam family "Bacterial small subunit ribosomal RNA", at positions 917 to 1267 of the family's 1533-position model. The record is from RNAcentral.
GGCCCCGCACAAGCGGUGGAGCAUGUGGUUUAAUUCGAUGAUACGCGAGGAACCUUACCAGGGUUUAAAUGCAGAACGACAGGGGUGGAAACACCCCCUUCUUCGGACGGACUGCAAGGUGCUGCAUGGUUGUCGUCAGCUCGUGCUGUGAAGUGUCGGGUUAAGUCCCAUAACGAGCGCAACCCCCAUUUCUAGUUGCCAGCGGUUCGGCCGGGGACUCUAGAGAAACUGCCAGCGUAAGCUGUGAGGAAGGUGGGGAUGACGUCAAAUCAUCACGGCCCUUACAUCCUGGGCCACACACGUGCUACAAUGGCCGGUACAAAGGGCAGCGAAACCGCGAGGUCAAG